This is a long non-coding RNA of Gallus gallus (chicken), 2089 nucleotides long. The record is from Ensembl. Lineage: Eukaryota; Metazoa; Chordata; Aves; Galliformes; Phasianidae.
CGGGGGCUGCGGAAAGCGGCUCCGUGCGGAGCCUCACCGCCCGCCGAACAUUGUCUUACGCUGCGGGGACGGCUCGGGGAAGGAGGCUCGGUUUGGUUCCAAGCCGACCGCAACCUGCCGGGCCGCUCGGCUGUGUAAUCGGUGUAGUAUGUACAACCGGAACGCGGUGCUGGAAGCGGUCCUCGGGCUUCUGCUGCGUUCCUGCCGAGCUCAGGUCCGUCGCGGGCUGUUCUGUGCGACCCAAACGCCCCGCAUAACGGCGCUUAGCGUUUAUACCGCCGGCAGACGUUUAAAACCGAGGAAACCACUUCGGUGUGGCCGGUGCUGCCGCAUCCUCUGUCGCCGUGAGGUGAGAUGGGGAGCUCCAGCCCGCAGCCCGCAGCCCGCAAUGCCCCGCGCAGCCCCACGCCGGGUGGCCCCACGGGGCACGUGGCCCUCCAGAAUGAUGCUCCUUCUGCUCCCCUACCCGCUGGCUGCACGCCCCCUGCCAAAGUUCCCGACUGCACUUUCCUCAUCUUUAAGUGUUUUGUGCCAUAACCCUGGGAAAUACUUACUCAAAGUGCUGGGAUGUUCUUGUAUCUCAUGCAUCGUGUUUCAUAGUAUCAACCAGCAAGGACAAGUCGCACUCAGAUGGCAUUUUUUUUUUGCUGCUAGCAAGCUGCAGUGCACAGUGCAUUUCAGCAUCAGCACGCAGACUGCCCAUAAGAGACCAAGAAUGCAGAGUCCAUGCUGACACGCUAUUUUUGACUCCUGCUUCAAGACGAAGAACUGCUGCACGGUGCAUAUGGGCUGUAAAAUCAAGGCAUGGUUUGGAACAUCCUGUCAGGAGACCAUAUGUGUUACGGCAUUUAAGAGCGGUUUGUUUUGCUCUCCAUAUGCCGACGGAACUGCUGCUAAGGUCACUAAAAACUUCGCAUUUGUCCAGGCAGUAAGAACACCUGAUGGGCUUUGUUCUGAAUUUCCCCCCCCCCUUUUUAUUCCUACCACUUAAAAAGCCCUUUUUCAUGGAUGACCUUGGUGAGCAGAUUGGAGAACAGACAGACCGGUCACUGCCCUUGGAAGCUUUGAUCAAAAGCAGUUAUGCAACCCCAUUUUUCCUCCGUAAAAGCAACGGAUGUAAAUGCAUCUCCCCACUCAUCCCAGGCACCACUGCUGUGGUAAACACUGGCUGCUGGCUCAGAGUUUGUGAUGACAUCUGAACGUCCCACUGAAAACAAAAAAAUACAUAGCAAACACAUUCUUACUGUAGGAUGAAUAUACAAAGAAUGAAGCACGGUAACCAAAUAAACUGUGAUAAUGAGAUAUAUCCUAUAGCCCUCUUCGUUUGCCAUCAUAACCUCGGAUCAGUUUGGCAUCCACGCAGUUGAGAAAUGAACAGAAAAUGGAAAGCUGUGCAUAUUUAGCAGGGAGUCUUGGAAGGAAAAGAACCACAGAUUUGAUCUGCUCAUCAUCAUGAGAUGGCAUGCGAUAGCUUUGAAGUCCACAGUGUGCAUUCACAACGCACGCCCUCCCAUCAGAAUUCCCAGUGUGCCAUUCAUUCAGACUGGGCCAUUUUUCAGUUCCCCUCAGCUGGGGACUGGGAAACAAUUCAUCUGCAGGGCAUUGCUGAAAUGGAGACGGAGCUGCCUUGGCCUCAGCGACGGGCUGCCUCUGUCAGGGGUGGAUGGCUGCAUUUUCAUUCAUAUCGUGAGCCAUAUUUUGAGACUUGCCAGGCCACAGGAGUUCCUUGCCAAACCACCACUAAAGACAAAGCUCAGGAGUGGAACUGCUGCCCUUGACCCAAGGUGCUGAAUGUAAUGUGCUGCCCUUGUUGCUACCUGUGAGCAAUAACGUGCUCUGAGGAGCAAUUACAGAAUGGGGCUGGGCUUUAAUUAAGGCACCAUUCACCAAGAUCACAUGGUCAUUGGAGAACAUGCCACUCAGGAUGUUUUGUAUUUAUAUAUAUAUAUAUAUAUAUAUAUACACAUAUAUAAUUUGUAUAAUUUGAACACUUGCUUAAUGACCUGAAUAAAUAUUUUUUCUGUAUAUCAAAUGUUGAAAAUAUGGUGGUUUUUUUCUUGCUUUCUUUUCCUCACUUCCUCACUUCCUU